Odocoileus virginianus texanus is the source of this 234-nucleotide non-coding RNA. Lineage: Eukaryota; Metazoa; Chordata; Mammalia; Artiodactyla; Cervidae. The record is from RefSeq and is a predicted model, not a curated record.
UGUCAGUGAGGCCCAGUGGGGAGUCAAACCCAAUUGGCAGCAAAGAGACCAAAGGAAGCAGUGAAAAACAAGACUAGUGGCACUCUUAUUUUCCCUACACAUAUCCUGUGUCAGGGGGUUUCGGUUAGAAGUUUCUAACCCCACCCAGCAUCAGUGAGGAAGAAGAGACACAAGAACCUGCAAGUUGGUGACUCACUUUUUCCAGAAAGUCAUGUCUGACUCUUUACAACCCCA